RNAcentral lists this ribosomal RNA (253 nucleotides) under uncultured bacterium. RNAcentral describes it as "partial 16S ribosomal RNA". It matches the Rfam family "Bacterial small subunit ribosomal RNA", at positions 524 to 776 of the family's 1533-position model. The record is from RNAcentral.
UACGGGGGGGGCUAGCGUUGCUCGGAAUCACUGGGCGUAAAGGGUGCGUAGGCGGGUCUUUAAGUCAGGGGUGAAAUCCUGGAGCUCAACUCCAGAACUGCCUUUGAUACUGAUAGUCUCGAGUCCGGAAGAGGUGAGUGGAAUUCCGAGUGUAGAGGUGAAAUUCGUAGAUAUUCGGAGGAACACCAGUGGCGAAGGCGGCUCACUGGUCCGGUACUGACGCUGAGGUGCGAAAGCGUGGGGAGCAAACAGG